RNAcentral lists this long non-coding RNA (485 nucleotides) under Saimiri boliviensis boliviensis (Bolivian squirrel monkey). RNAcentral's name for it is "lncRNA (ENSSBOG00000036712.1)". Lineage: Eukaryota; Metazoa; Chordata; Mammalia; Primates; Cebidae. The record is from RNAcentral.
CUGGGCAAAAAAAUCAGUUUACUGGUUGCCAUGGCAAUGCGGAAAUCAGCACUAUGGCCCUUGAUGCAAAUGAGACUCGGCUUUUGACUGGCAGCACAGAUGGGACUAUAAAGGGAGUUAUGAUGGAUAAAUUGUUCUAUGGAACAAUAGCACAGAAAAGGCUCAUCAUGUUCUUCACCCCAAUUAUCAGAGAUUGCUAACAUCAAAAUUAGAUACAAAACCUCGAGAACUUCUCACUCCUGGGAGAAGCCACUCCACCCACCCCAUGGCAGACCACUCUGCCAUGGGAGUCCAAGACUUUGAGAUUGACACUGAGGGCAAAAAUGCUGUUACGCGGCUUUGCUUCCUUAAAGCAAGAAAAAACACUGCAGUGACAGGUCAGACAAUGGCAAGGAAGCUGCAGUUGAAGAGGAUGGGUCCGAGAGCAGGAGCCAGACUACAGCUCGCUACUAAUUUAUCCAGUGUUGUAUACGUCAAGAUCAGGG